CCUUACCUACCCUUGACAUGGUCGGAAUCCUGAAGAGAUUCGGGAGUGCUCGAAAGAGAACCGGCGCACAGGUGCUGCAUGGCUGUCGUCAGCUCGUGUCGUGAGAUGUUGGGUUAAGUCCCGCAACGAGCGCAACCCUUGUCCUUAGUUGCUACGCAAGAGCACUCUAAGGAGACUGCCGGUGACAAACCGGAGGAAGGUGGGGAUGACGUCAAGUCCUCAUGGCCCUUAUGGGUAGGGCUUCACACGUCAUACAAUGGUCGGAACAGAGGGUUGCCAACCCGCGAGGGGGAGCUAAUCCCAGAAAACCGAUCGUAGUCCGGAUUGCACUCUGCAACUCGAGUGCAUGAAGCUGGAAUCGCUAGUAAUCGCG
RNAcentral lists this ribosomal RNA (373 nucleotides) under Burkholderia sp. CAS49. RNAcentral's name for it is "bacterial SSU rRNA". It matches the Rfam family "Bacterial small subunit ribosomal RNA", at positions 969 to 1346 of the family's 1533-position model. Lineage: Bacteria; Pseudomonadati; Pseudomonadota; Betaproteobacteria; Burkholderiales; Burkholderiaceae. The record is from RNAcentral.